This 876-nucleotide ribosomal RNA is filed under the name uncultured Sulfitobacter sp. RNAcentral's name for it is "bacterial SSU rRNA". It matches the Rfam family "Bacterial small subunit ribosomal RNA", at positions 107 to 1017 of the family's 1533-position model. Lineage: Bacteria; Pseudomonadati; Pseudomonadota; Alphaproteobacteria; Rhodobacterales; Roseobacteraceae. The record is from RNAcentral.
UUAGUAACGCGUGGGAACGUGCCCUUCUCUGCGGAAUAGCCACUGGAAACGGUGAGUAAUACCGCAUACGCCCUUCGGGGGAAAGAUUUAUCGGAGAAGGAUCGGCCCGCGUUAGAUUAGAUAGUUGGUGGGGUAAUGGCCUACCAAGUCUACGAUCUAUAGCUGGUUUUAGAGGAUGAUCAGCAACACUGGGACUGAGACACGGCCCAGACUCCUACGGGAGGCAGCAGUGGGGAAUCUUAGACAAUGGGCGCAAGCCUGAUCUAGCCAUGCCGCGUGUGUGAUGAAGGUCUUAGGAUCGUAAAGCACUUUCGCCAGGGAUGAUAAUGACAGUACCUGGUAAAGAAACCCCGGCUAACUCCGUGCCAGCAGCCGCGGUAAUACGGAGGGGGUUAGCGUUGUUCGGAAUUACUGGGCGUAAAGCGUACGUAGGCGGAUCAGAAAGUUGGGGGUGAAAUCCCAGGGCUCAACCCUGGAACUGCCUCCAAAACUCCUGGUCUUGAGUUCGAGAGAGGUGAGUGGAAUUCCAAGUGUAGAGGUGAAAUUCGUAGAUAUUUGGAGGAACACCAGUGGCGAAGGCGGCUCACUGGCUCGAUACUGACGCUGAGGUACGAAAGUGUGGGGAGCAAACAGGAUUAGAUACCCUGGUAGUCCACACCGUAAACGAUGAAUGCCAGUCGUCGGGCAGUAUACUGUUCGGUGACACACCUAACGGAUUAAGCAUUCCGCCUGGGGAGUACGGUCGCAAGAUUAAAACUCAAAGGAAUUGACGGGGGCCUGCACAAGCGGUGGAGCAUGUGGUUUAAUUCGACGCAACGCGCAGAACCUUACCAGCGUUUGACAUCCUGAUCGCGGAUUCCAGAGAUGGUUUCCUUC